GAUGAACGCUGGCGGCGUGCCUAAUACAUGCAAGUCGAACGGUCGACUUCGGUCGAUAGUGGCGAACGGGUGAGUAACGCGUUGGUGACCUGCCCCGGAGCGUGGGAUAACAGGCCGAAAGGCUUGCUAAUACCGCAUGCGCAAGUGGGAGUUAGAGACCCAUUUGUAAAGGGAAACGUUCGUAAGAACGUCUCGCUCUGGGAGGGGCCUGCGACCCAUCAGCUAGUUGGUAAGGUAACGGCCUACCAAGGCGAUGACGGGUAGGGGACCUGAGAGGGUGACCCCCCACAAUGGAACUGAAACACGGUCCAUACACCUACGGGUGGCAG
This 329-nucleotide ribosomal RNA is filed under the name uncultured Chloroflexota bacterium. Its description in RNAcentral is "bacterial SSU rRNA". It matches the Rfam family "Bacterial small subunit ribosomal RNA", at positions 28 to 351 of the family's 1533-position model. Lineage: Bacteria; Bacillati; Chloroflexota. The record is from RNAcentral.